UUGCCAGACUCCUACGGGAGGCAGCAGUGGGGAAUAUUGCGCAAUGGGCGAAAGCCUGACGCAGCGACGCCGCGUGAGGGAUGAAGGUCUUCGGAUCGUAAACCUCUGUCAGCAGGGAAGAACGGUCACUGUGCUAAUCAGCAGUGAAUUGACGGUACCUGCAAAGGAAGCACCGGCUAACUACGUGCCAGCAGCCGCGGUAAUACGUAGGGUGCGAGCGUUAAUCGGAAUUACUGGGCGUAAAGGGUGUGCAGGCGGCUGAGUAAGACAGAUGUGAAAUCCCCGGGCUUAACCUGGGAACCGCAUAUGUGACUGCUUGGCUAGAGUGCGUCAGAGGGAGGUGGAAUUCCACGUGUAGCAGUGAAAUGCGUAGAUAUGUGGAAGAACACCGAUGGCGAAGGCAGCCUCCUGGGACGCAACUGACGCUCAUACACGAAAGCGUGGGGAGCAAACAGGAUUAGAUACCCUAGUA
Molecule: ribosomal RNA, 472 nt
Filed under: uncultured bacterium
Lineage: Bacteria
Description: bacterial SSU rRNA
Rfam family: Bacterial small subunit ribosomal RNA
Source: RNAcentral